Molecule: non-coding RNA, 523 nt
Organism: Microcebus murinus (gray mouse lemur)
Lineage: Eukaryota; Metazoa; Chordata; Mammalia; Primates; Cheirogaleidae
Source: RefSeq, a predicted model, not a curated record
AUAUAUUUUCUUAUGCUACCCAAGACCACUUUCCAGAAAAAGGCAUAAAUGUUUCUUUCCAGAAAGUGGUAUGGAGAAUAUGUGGAAGCUCUGGCCUUGCGACUUAAAAGUUAAUGAAAGACUCGAAAGUGUGAGUGAAAGCUAGGAGUAGAAAAGAUGCUACAACAGAGAGUUUCAUGAAAGCAUGUGGCCAAUUGUUCCUGCAUCAAAAUUAUGAAAGUUCUUGCAAAUUAGGUGGACAUCAUUCAUAUACUCUUUCAAGGACAUUACGACACUUAAAAUGGAAGAUUCGUGAAGAUAAUUGAACCGGAGAUGCUUUCUGUGAUUGAUUUCUAAGGGUUGUAAGUGAUAUCAGAGGUAGAUGUUCAGACUAAUAUUCUCUAUUAUAGUUAGAAACGUUUUGAAUUUUAGAAGUAAGUUGUUUUACCAAUUGUAUAUUAAGUAAUGUUCUACAGUGGAUUUUGAAAUGUUUUUAAAAGACUGUGUGAACUUAAUUUGUUUUCAUAAAAUUAUGUGUAAUGUG